UCUAAUAUGGCAGAUUAGUGCAAUGGAUUUAAGCCCCAUAAAUAAAGAAACUUUUUCUUUUUUUAGAA
RNAcentral lists this transfer RNA (68 nucleotides) under Ips hauseri. Its description in RNAcentral is "tRNA-Leu". Lineage: Eukaryota; Metazoa; Arthropoda; Insecta; Coleoptera; Curculionidae. The record is from RNAcentral.